UUUCCGUAGGUGAACCUGCGGAAGGAUCAUUAUCGAGUUUUGACUGGGCUGUAGCUGGCCUUCCGAGGCAUGUGCACGCCCUGCUCAUCCACUCUACACCUGUGCACUUACUGUGGGUAUCAGAUCGUGAAGCGUGCUCUUUUACCGGAGCUUGUGAAGCGUGUCUGUGCCUGCGUUUAUCACAAACACUAUAAAGUAUCAGAAUGUGUAUUACGACGUAACGCAUCUAUAUACAACUUUCAGCAACGGAUCUCUUGGCUCUC
RNAcentral lists this unclassified non-coding RNA (263 nucleotides) under plant metagenome. Its description in RNAcentral is "partial contains small subunit ribosomal RNA, internal transcribed spacer 1, and 5.8S ribosomal RNA". The record is from RNAcentral.